RNAcentral lists this ribosomal RNA (467 nucleotides) under Enterobacter sp. Its description in RNAcentral is "bacterial SSU rRNA". It matches the Rfam family "Bacterial small subunit ribosomal RNA", at positions 332 to 790 of the family's 1533-position model. Lineage: Bacteria; Pseudomonadati; Pseudomonadota; Gammaproteobacteria; Enterobacterales; Enterobacteriaceae. The record is from RNAcentral.
UUUUUCCCUACGGGGGGAGCUGCAGUGGGGAAUAUUGCACAAUGGGCGCAAGCCUGAUGCAGCCAUGCCGCGUGUAUGAAGAAGGCCUUCGGGUUGUAAAGUACUUUCAGCGGGGAGGAAGGUGUUGUGGUUAAUAACCGCAGCAAUUGACGUUACCCGCAGAAGAAGCACCGGCUAACUCCGUGCCAGCAGCCGCGGUAAUACGGAGGGUGCAAGCGUUAAUCGGAAUUACUGGGCGUAAAGCGCACGCAGGCGGUCUGUCAAGUCGGAUGUGAAAUCCCCGGGCUCAACCUGGGAACUGCAUUCGAAACUGGCAGGCUAGAGUCUUGUAGAGGGGGGUAGAAUUCCAGGUGUAGCGGUGAAAUGCGUAGAGAUCUGGAGGAAUACCGGUGGCGAAGGCGGCCCCCUGGACAAAGACUGACGCUCAGGUGCGAAAGCGUGGGGAGCAAACAGGAUUAGAUACGGGG